This 673-nucleotide ribosomal RNA is filed under the name uncultured fungus. RNAcentral describes it as "eukaryotic LSU rRNA". The stretch from base 266 to 419 matches the Rfam family "5.8S ribosomal RNA". Lineage: Eukaryota; Fungi. The record is from RNAcentral.
AAGGAUCAUUAUUGAAUUAACUUGGAUGCUGUAGCUGGUGCGCAAGCACAUGUGCUCGUAUUCAUUUUAUUUCUAAUCUCUUGUGCACCUUUUCUAGUCUUGAGUUCAAACGUGAAACUCUCACAUUUUUCAUUAAAUGUGGAUGUGGGGUUUGCCCUUUGGGCCUUCCCUUACUCACAAGUAGAGCUUGAGAUUAGGUUUUACAUACCCUUAUAAAAAGUCUUAGAAUGUCACUUUGUUGGCGCAAGCCGAUAAAACCUUAUACAACUUUCAGCAACGGAUCUCUUGGCUCUCCCAUCGAUGAAGAACGCAGCGAAAUGCGAUAAGUAAUGUGAAUUGCAGAAUUCAGUGAAUCAUCGAAUCUUUGAACGCACCUUGCACCCUUUGGUAUUCCGAAGGGUAUGCCUAUUUGAGUGUCAUUAAAUUCUCAACCUUAUAACUUUUUUUUUUGUUGUAAGGCUUGGAUGUGAGGGUAUAUUGCUGGCUUCCUUAAGUGCGAUGGUCAGCUCCCUUGAAAUGUAUUAGUGGAAUCCUUUGUGGAACACUUGAGUGUAAUAAUUAUUGUGCUCUUGUUUGUGAAACAAUUUUAAGUGAAUCUGCUUACAACCGUCCGCAAGGACAAUUUACUUGACAAUUUGACCUCAAAUCAGGUAGGACUACCCGCUGAACUUAA